This 966-nucleotide ribosomal RNA is filed under the name compost metagenome. Its description in RNAcentral is "bacterial SSU rRNA". It matches the Rfam family "Bacterial small subunit ribosomal RNA", at positions 8 to 973 of the family's 1533-position model. The record is from RNAcentral.
AGAGUUUGAUCCUGGCUCAGGAUGAACGCUAGCGGCAGGCCUAAUACAUGCAAGUCGAACGGGAUCCGCCAGCUUGCUGGCGGUGAGAGUGGCGCACGGGUGCGUAACGCGUGAGCAACCUGCCCGUCCCAGGGGGAUAGCCCCUCGAAAGAGGGAUUAAUACCGCAUAAUGUUGCGGGGCGGCAUCGUCCUGCAACCAAAGAUUUAUCGGGGACGGAUGGGCUCGCGUGGCAUUAGCUAGUUGGUAAGGUAACGGCUUACCAAGGCUACGAUGCCUAGGGGCUCUGAGAGGAGAAUCCCCCCACACUGGUACUGAGACACGGACCAGACUCCUACGGGAGGCAGCAGUAAGGAAUAUUGGUCAAUGGAGGCAACUCUGAACCAGCCAUGCCGCGUGCAGGAGGACGGCCCUAUGGGUUGUAAACUGCUUUUACAGGGGAACAAACCCCGGUACGUGUACCGGGCUGAGUGUACCUUGAGAAUAAGGAUCGGCUAACUCCGUGCCAGCAGCCGCGGUAAUACGGAGGAUCCGAGCGUUAUCCGGAUUUAUUGGGUUUAAAGGGUGCGUAGGCGGGAUGCUAAGUCAGUGGUGAAAGACGGUGGCUCAACCAUCGCAGUGCCGUUGAUACUGGUGUUCUUGAAUGCGGAUGAGGUAGGCGGAAUGUGGCAAGUAGCGGUGAAAUGCAUAGAUAUGCCACAGAACACCGAUUGCGAAGGCAGCUUACCAAAUCGUUAUUGACGCUGAUGCACGAAAGCGUGGGGAUCAAACAGGAUUAGAUACCCUGGUAGUCCACGCCCUAAACGAUGAUGACUCGGUGUUGGCGAUAUACUGUCAGCGCCCAAGCGAAAGCGUUAAGUCAUCCACCUGGGGAGUACGCCGGCAACGGUGAAACUCAAAGGAAUUGACGGGGGCCCGCACAAGCGGAGGAGCAUGUGGUUUAAUUCGAUGAUACGCGAGGAACCUUA